Molecule: long non-coding RNA, 350 nt
Organism: Oncorhynchus tshawytscha (Chinook salmon)
Lineage: Eukaryota; Metazoa; Chordata; Actinopteri; Salmoniformes; Salmonidae
Source: Ensembl
GGGAGAGGUGGUCCUGUGUUGAGUAGGCUUUAUAGUCAGUAGGGGGAGAGGUGAUCCUGUGUUGAGUAGGCUUUAUAGUCAGUAGGGGGAGAGGUGGUCCUGUGUUGAGUAGGCUUUAUAGUCAGUAGGGGGAGAGGUGGUCCUGUGUUGAGUAGGCUUUAUAGUCAGUAGUGGGAGAGGUGGUCCUGUGUUGAGUAGGCUUUAUAGUCAGUAGUGGGAGAGGUGGUCCUGUGUUGAGUAGGCUUUAUAGUCAGUAGUGGGAGAGGUGGUCCUGUGUUGAGUAGGCUUUAUAGUCAGUAAGGGGAGAGGUGAUCCUGCGUUCAGCAGCUCAGUAGUCUGGUGUUAUGGGA